This 72-nucleotide transfer RNA is filed under the name Loxodonta africana (African savanna elephant). It matches the Rfam family "tRNA". Rfam says of the family: Transfer RNA (tRNA) molecules are approximately 80 nucleotides in length. Their secondary structure includes four short double-helical elements and three loops (D, anti-codon, and T loops). Lineage: Eukaryota; Metazoa; Chordata; Mammalia; Proboscidea; Elephantidae. The record is from Rfam by way of RNAcentral.
GCAUUGGUGGUUCAGUGGCAGAAUCCCCACUUUCCACGCAGGGGAGCCGGGGUUUGAUUCCCGGCCAAGGCG